UUUUUACAAUGGAGAGUUUGAUCCUGGCUCAGGAUGAACGCUAGCGGCAGGCCUAAUACAUGCAAGUCGGACGGGAUUGUCCCUUAGCUUGCUAAGGGGCAUGAGAGUGGCGCACGGGUGCG
RNAcentral lists this ribosomal RNA (122 nucleotides) under Sphingobacterium haloxyli. Its description in RNAcentral is "partial 16S ribosomal RNA". It matches the Rfam family "Bacterial small subunit ribosomal RNA", at positions 1 to 110 of the family's 1533-position model. The record is from RNAcentral. Lineage: Bacteria; Pseudomonadati; Bacteroidota; Sphingobacteriia; Sphingobacteriales; Sphingobacteriaceae.